This 390-nucleotide unclassified non-coding RNA is filed under the name soil metagenome. RNAcentral's name for it is "partial contains 5.8S ribosomal RNA, internal transcribed spacer 2, and large subunit ribosomal RNA". The stretch from base 1 to 122 matches the Rfam family "5.8S ribosomal RNA", at positions 35 to 154 of the family's 154-position model. The record is from RNAcentral.
GAUGAAGAACGCAGCGAAAUGCGAUACUUGGUGUGAAUUGCAGAAUCCCGUGAACCAUCGAGUCUUUGAACGCAAGUUGCGCCCGAAGCCAUUAGGCCGAGGGCACGCCUGCCUGGGCGUCACACGUCGUUGCCCCCCCAUCUACUCCUUCGGGAUUGCGGGGGGCGGAUGAUGGCCUCCCGUGCGCCUCGCCGCGCGGUUGGCAUAAAUGCCAAGUCCUCGGCGACGCACGCCACGACAAUCGGUGGUUGCGAAACCUCGGUUGCCCGUCGUGUGCGGUCGUCGCGCAUCGAGGGCUCGAAAAAAUUGCCGGGCUCCGGCUCGGCUUUCAACGCGACCCCAGGUCAGGCGGGGUUACCCGCUGAAUUUAAGCAUAUAAUAAGCGGAGGA